Dermacentor silvarum is the source of this 713-nucleotide long non-coding RNA. RefSeq lists it as uncharacterized. NCBI's taxonomy places the organism in Eukaryota, Metazoa, Arthropoda, Arachnida, Ixodida, Ixodidae. The transcript is spliced from 3 exons. The record is from RefSeq and is a predicted model, not a curated record.
CACAUUCAGUGAUCUGACUGCAAAAACUUUGGGUUCUGAACUGUCAGCAACCUGCCCAUCUGCAUUUAGCAGGCAUCUAGAAAAGUGCCAUAUUGUUGAAGGGACAUCAAAGUUGGGACCGACACAAGAAGGAAGUCCUUUGCAGUAUCUGCGGCCACUUGUACCACAUGGCUAUCAAGCAUAUGUGUCACCCGAGAUUUUGUGUGUAAACACAACAGUAUCUGCUGUGCCAACACGGCCUGAACUUUUCAAGUCGUCGUGCAAGUGGCAGCCCUUAUCUAUGAGCGAUCCUGCUCAUAAAGCAUCUGUUCUUGAGAAGCUUCAAAUAUCUUGCGAAGAAGCUGUUAGUUCUGGAACAGAAUACAAGAAACCAGGCCCAAAGUGAUACCUGGAGGCAAGCUCGGCGGCUUCGUGUGACGGCUUCAUCAUUUGGCGUAGUUCAGCGACCCACAUGGACAGAGAAACGCCUGCACAACUUGGUCUUGGAGAGAGACUUGUCUCGUGUACAGGCAGUCCAAUAUGGUAUUGCCAAUGAACAAGCAGCUGUUUAUCGCUACAUUUCAACUAUGAGAACAAGAGGUCGUGACGUCGAAGCAUUCCAGAGUGGCCUGCUGGUUGACCCCUCAUAUCCCUGGUUGGGUGCAUCACAAGACCGCUUCAUUUUUGAUCCAGCAGAAACACAACUGCAUGGGUUACUUGAAGUGAAGUGCCCA